UUUACAUAUCUAAUAUCCACUAUCCAACCCAAUUAACCAAAAAUUUCCAAAAUUCAAUCAAAAGCUCCCAAAAUUCCCAAAAUCAAAAAUUUCCCAAAAUCUGCUCGAUGCCUCUGCAACUCUGCUCGUCAGUCCCCACUCCAGUCCGGUAGUCAUCGCCACUCGCCUGUCAUCUUCUUCAGCCUUCAGGUUAGUGGCCACUUGCUAGUACGACUUCUGCCGACUACAGCUCUUCUUCAACUCUUCUGCUCAUGACUGCUGGAGAAUGGUUCGAUUUGGAGAGCGAAGUCGUUUGCUGCUUCUGGAAUGGUGGAACCCAAGUUGGUGAAGUGGUUUUCAACACUUCAUUAACCGAGUAAAAAUUAAGAAUUUACUAUGAAUUUAUUUCCAUUGUUUUUGUGAUUUGUGAAUAAUGUUGGCUGAUAAAGAAUUUUUAUCCUCCACUUGCAAGUGGGUUUGUUAGAAAUGUGUGGAAUCCAUUUAUGUUCCAACAGAUUCAUUUAUCAUUUCUAGUCCACAGAUUGAAAUUGGAAAGAAGGUGGGAUCAAGCUCAUGGUCUCAAGGCUUGUGAGUUGUGACGAGAUCAUACUCAACAGUGUAAUUCCACAAUUAUCGUCAAAAUUUCACUUCUCAGGUUAAUCAUUGGACAUUAGAUACAGACUCAUACACUAUGCCUCCUAAAUAUGAGUCUGGUGCUCAAAAGAGGAAAAGGAACCGAAAUGAAAUUGCAUUGAUUCAAAGUCAAGUAGGGGAUAUUAACAAGUACUUCAAAAGCAACAAUGUGAAUGCGUUGAAUGAUAAUGAAGUAGAGAUUCAACCUGCCCAUGUUAAUGAAGUAGAUAGUACGGAUGAAGAAGUGAGACAACCUGACUAUGUUAAUGAAGUAGAUGAUAAAGAAGAAGAAGUGGUGAAACCCGCCUCUAAUAAUGAAGAAGAUGAUAAGGAAGAAGAGGGUUCCUUUUCUCUAAAUUUGGAUGAUCCCGGGAAUUGGAAAAUCAUUGAUCAGACAACAAGGGAUUACUUAGUUGAAAGGGGUCCAAAAAGAGUUGAUAACAUUUCAUUUCCAAAAGAUUGAACAAAUAGACAUUUCGAUUCUUCACAAUAUAAGCGACUGCUACGAAAUGGGCAAACAAUUGAUAGAAGAUGGCUAGUAUAUUCAAUAUCUAUGGACAGGAUCUUCUGCUUUUGUUGCAAGUUAUUUAAAACACCUAAAAAUGUGACCAAAGUUAGCCAACUAGGUAAUGAUGGAUUCAAAGAUUGGCAUAAUUUGCAUCGGUCUAUGAAAAGUCAUGAAGGAAAUGAAGACCAUUUAUGUUGCAUGAUUGGCUGGAUUGAAUUGGAAAAUAGGCUUCGAACAAAAAUUACAAUUGAUAAAAGCGUUGAAUUGUUGAUCGAUGCAGAAAGAGAACAUUGGAGGCAUGUAUUAACAAGGAUAAUCGCUAUUGUUAAAAGACUUGCCAAAAAUACCUUGCCAUUUCGAGAAGAUAGUGAGAGGCUAAAUGUUGAGAAUAAUGGCCUAUUUUUACAAAUGGUGGAAAUGGUUAGUGAGUUUGAUCCAGUAAUGAAAGAGUACCUUCGGCAGGCUAAUGCGAGAGAGAUUCAAUACACGUAUCUUGGCAAAAAAAUCCAAAAUGAGUUGAUACAACUGUUGGCUAAUGAGGUGAGAAAUACAAUUGUUAAGAAAGUUAACAUGCAAAAUAUUUCACAGUUAUACUUGAUUGAACUCCAGAUGCAAGUCGUGAGGAGCAGAUGUCUUUAAUAGUACGAUUUGUAGAUGAUUCAGCAAACUUACCUACAGUUGAGGAACAUUAGCUUGAAUUUUUGAAGGUAGAUGACACAACAGGACUUGGACUUACAACUGAGCUUCAAAAGGCUUUGAUCAAAUUUGAUCUGGAUAUUGAUGACAUUAGAGGGCAAGGGUAUGAUAAUGGAUCUAACAUGAGCGGGAAGCACAAAGGUGUACAAAAAAGAGUACAUGAAAUAAAUCCCCGAGCUUUCUAUACUCCAUGUAGUGCUCAUAGUCUAAAUCUAGCAUUAUGUGAUAUGGUGAAUUGUUGUUCCAAAGCUGUAUCCUUCUUCGGAGUGAUACAACACAUCUACACUUUAUUUUCCUCUUUUACCAAGUGAUGAAAAAUUUUCAAAGAUAAUGUAAAAAGGGUUGACAGUGAAGCCAUUGUUACAAACACGUUGGGAAAGUCAUGUUGAGAGUGUAAAACCUAUAAUGGAGCAAACUGCACAAAUAAGAGAAGCCUUACUUGAUUUGGCAGAAUCUAACGAAGAUCCUAAAGUGAAGAGUGAAGCCGAGUCGUUAGCAACACAUGAACUUCAGAAUUUUGAGUUUUUGCUUGGCAUAGUAAUCUGGUACAGGUUGUUGCAUGCAGUCAAUAUUGUGAGUAAAUUUCUUCAAACUGAAUCCAUGGAUAUUGAUCGUGCUAUCGAUCUAUUGUAAGGACUUGUUUUAUUUUUUGAAGAUUAUAGAGAAAUCGAAUUUGCUGUUGCUAUGGAUGAAGCAACAAAAAAGGCAAACAAAAUGGGAAUUGAAGCUGUAUUUACAGAAAAAAGCAUAAUUCGAAGGAAAAAACAAUUUGAUGAAAGUGGUAAUGAUGAGGUAAAACAAUCAGCAAAAGAAUCUUUUAGAGUUGAGUACUUUGUUUUUAUAAUUGAUCAAGCUCUAUCUUCUCUGAGAGGUCGAUUUGAACAAUUCAAACAAUAUGAUGACAUAUUUGGAUUUUUGUUUAAUUUGAAAAAGUUAAGGGAUGCAACUUUAUCAAGUUUGUUGAACUCUUGUAUGAAUCUUGAGAAAUAUCUUGAAGAUGAUGGGCAUUCGGACAUCAGUGGAGAUGAUUUAUGUUUGGAAUUACAAGUCUUGAAGAUUUAUUUACCAAAUGAACCAACAAGAGCAAUUGAACUGCUGCAAUAUUUGAAGACUCACAAUAUUUGUUACCCAAAUGCUUAUAUUGCUUACAAAAUUUUGUUAACCAUACUGGUUACAAUUGCACCUGCGGCAAGAAGUUUCUCAAAAUUAAAGUUGAUCAAGACCCAUCUUCGAUCAACUAUGUCACAAGAAAGGUUAAACGGGUUGACUAUGUUAUCAA
Molecule: long non-coding RNA, 3095 nt
Organism: Olea europaea var. sylvestris
Lineage: Eukaryota; Viridiplantae; Streptophyta; Magnoliopsida; Lamiales; Oleaceae
Exons: 3
Source: RefSeq, a predicted model, not a curated record